RNAcentral lists this small nuclear RNA (279 nucleotides) under Erinaceus europaeus (western European hedgehog). Its description in RNAcentral is "7SK RNA". It matches the Rfam family "7SK RNA", at positions 1 to 290 of the family's 331-position model. From Rfam's summary of the family: 7SK was discovered as an abundant small nuclear RNA in the mid-70s but a possible function has only recently been suggested. The record is from Rfam by way of RNAcentral. Lineage: Eukaryota; Metazoa; Chordata; Mammalia; Eulipotyphla; Erinaceidae.
GGAGGUGAGGGGGAUCUAGCUGUGACAUCUGUCACCCCAUUGAUCUCCAGGGUUGACUCAGCCCAUCUGGCUGGCUAUGUGGUGUCCCCUCCCUCCCUCACCACUCCAUGUGAGUCUCCCUACAGAAGCUACACAUUUGGUGGAAGAGGAAGGCCUUGCCCAAAUAGAGACAGAUAGUCUUAGGUCAAGGGAAUAUGAGUAGCUGCACUCCCCUGCUAGAACCUCUAAACAAGUUCUCAAGAAAAGAAGAAAGGAAGAAAGAAAGAAAGAAAAGAAGGA